GAACACCGUUGUGUUGGACGCC
RNAcentral lists this non-coding RNA (22 nucleotides) under Arabidopsis thaliana (thale cress). Lineage: Eukaryota; Viridiplantae; Streptophyta; Magnoliopsida; Brassicales; Brassicaceae. The record is from RNAcentral.